Molecule: long non-coding RNA, 263 nt
Organism: Hippocampus zosterae (dwarf seahorse)
Lineage: Eukaryota; Metazoa; Chordata; Actinopteri; Syngnathiformes; Syngnathidae
Exons: 3
Source: RefSeq, a predicted model, not a curated record
GCGGCCAGCUGAAGUCAUCUUGAGCACCGGAGGAGAGGCCCGGCGACGUGGCCGAGCGUGGCCGGCGGAGAGGCGUCUUGGUCGGAUGAAUGGUUGUUGGAACGCGGCCCGCGGAAGUUAUCUUGAGCACCGGAGGAGAGGCCCGGCGACGUGGCCAAGCGUGGCCGGCGGAGAGGCGUCUUGGUCGGAUGAAUGGUGUUGGAACGCGGCCAGCGGAAGUCAUCUUGAGCACCGGAGGAGAGGCCCGGCGACGUGGCCGAGCG